UAGGCGGGACGGGGUGAGUAAUGUCUGGGAAACUGCCUGAUGGAGGGGGAUAACUACUGGAAACGGUAGCUAAUACCGCAUAACGUCGCAAGACCAAAGAGGGGGACCUUAGGGCCUCUUGCCAUCGGAUGUGCCCAGAUGGGAUUAGCUAGUAGGUGGGGUAACGGCUCACCUAGGCGACGAUCCCUAGCUGGUCUGAGAGGAUGACCAGCCACACUGGUACUGAGACACGGACCAA
RNAcentral lists this ribosomal RNA (238 nucleotides) under uncultured bacterium. Its description in RNAcentral is "partial 16S ribosomal RNA". It matches the Rfam family "Bacterial small subunit ribosomal RNA", at positions 104 to 334 of the family's 1533-position model. The record is from RNAcentral.